This is a small nucleolar RNA of Arabidopsis thaliana (thale cress), 361 nucleotides long. RefSeq annotates it as U3D; snoRNA. Lineage: Eukaryota; Viridiplantae; Streptophyta; Magnoliopsida; Brassicales; Brassicaceae. The record is from RefSeq. The transcript has a single exon.
CAUAAGCUUAUGAUUUCUUUUUUCUUACGAAUUUUGCGUCCCACAUCGGUAAGCGAGUGAAGAAAUAACUGCUUUAUAUAUGGCUACAAAGCACCAUUGGUCACGACCUUACUUGAACAGGAUCUGUUCUAUAGGCUCGUACCUCUGUUUCCUUGAUUUCUCAAGAGACAGGCCCUUAACCCUGGUUGAUGAACCAUGACCGUGCGGCUAGAGCGUGAUUGACGGCUACGAUCGUCCUCGGACGCAUCCGGUGCUGUAGAGGAUCGUUACUCGGCUCGGUUCUACCUUGCCGGGGUGGUCGCACGGCGGUCUGACAGGUUCUUUUAUUUUUUCACCCUCAAAACUUUGAAUGAAUUUCUUC